GGGCCCGUAGCUCAGCCAGGCAGAGCGGCGGGCUCCAGACCCGUAGGUCGGGGGUUCGAAUCCCUCCGGGCCCACCA
This 77-nucleotide transfer RNA is filed under the name Thermoprotei archaeon. RNAcentral describes it as "tRNA-Trp". It matches the Rfam family "tRNA". From Rfam's summary of the family: Transfer RNA (tRNA) molecules are approximately 80 nucleotides in length. Their secondary structure includes four short double-helical elements and three loops (D, anti-codon, and T loops). Lineage: Archaea; Thermoproteati; Thermoproteota; Thermoprotei. RNAcentral also lists the same sequence under 2 other names. The record is from RNAcentral.